GUUGCUUCACUUGCUUGGUGAUGGUGAUUCUGCCAUCAGCAUAGUGUUUCAAAGUUUCAAUCUGUUUCAAUCAUUGAAUUGUUUAUUUGUAACUUAGUGAGAUUGUCUAAUAGAUGGGCAAACGUUGACUUCUGUUUCUCCAUUACCUCAUCUGUGCUACUCACGUCCCGUUAUCCCCUUUUACGUGGUUGAAACAAAGUGCUAAAUUAAAUCAAGGAAAUGUUUGAAACAUGUGUCUGUGCCCAGAUCACAUUCAAAUUGGUGAAAGAAGAGAGCCAUAGAUUGUUUCACCUGCAUUGGAUUUUUCAAUCUCCUUGCUAGAACAAAAUGAGUGCUGCUAGACGAUUUUGUUCUGUGUGUCAUUAUUAGGUCCAAAUAAAAACACCACUUAUCUCUAACACAACAAGUUUUUCAUGUAAAGUGUGACUGUUGAAGUUACUUCGGCCAAUGCUUCUGCUUGUGAAGAAUCCAGCAAUGCAGAAAAAAGUAUUAAUGAAGUGAACUAUUCAGUGACAGCACCACCUACCUUACUAAACGGCCAGAUGAAAUUUCUGCCUAAAAUUAGAAGAAUUCCAAAUCUCUAGUCGAUGUGGACUGACAUAGAAGAUUAUUGAGUCACGAGCAUCUUUACGUCAAUGGCGCGAAUGCUGCUUCAUUGCAAAACAUUCAUUGCAGUUUAUGAUAGUGUUCAUCAAGUGGUGGUGUACUCCAUACCAAACAAAAAGCGUGCAGCAAAUUUCCAAAAGCAAAUAAGGGUGUACAGCUAUUUUAAUUCUUGCCUGAAUGAAAAAUAUGCGGCUUUUUUCAGUAAAUGACAAAAACCAAGAUUCUAUUUUAUUGGUUAUCAUCACAGAUUAUCUGUAAGUUAUGUUAUUAGCGCCACAAAAAAGAAACGUUUAACAGUAACAUGAAAAAAAUGUCCGCUCUUGCUCGUUGACACCAUGGUUGACACUCAAUUGCAAGAAUAACUAACAAUCAAAGACCUUGAUACUCACAUAAUAUUCUCCCCUUCCAAUUUGUAUCUCGUCUUCACCUAAAACCGCAGCAUCACAGCAGAUCACAACAGACGAAAUCCUCUCAUUGCUUCUACAAUGAGGGGAAGGCAGCAUGACAUUCGCUUUUGUGUCUCAUCUGUUAGUGAUUUCAGAUUGUUGACGAAAUAUUGUCGAACUAACUCUACGUAUCACCCUUUUAGCUUUAGUCCUGUCAUUCUGCACUGUGCUUUACCUGUGAUUAAUCUUUCUUUUCUUCUAAUUAGGUUUUGAUGGCCAUUGGUGAAGAGAACAGCAUAGGAAUGCGUCAGCUUUGUCUGGGUCUGGGCUAAAUGCCCUACUAGAUAGAAUCCUCUUGCGAAACUUCGCCUGCUCCUAAGUUACACAAUACACCUCUUAAGCUACUUCCAAAAAGCAAAAAAAAUUUAUAUUAGGAUUUUGAGUUUAUUUUCAGGUGGGAGAUCCAUUUGCUUGUCUAUCAAAUAAUUUGAGAUCACAACAAGGUCUGAGCUUCACUGCUGUCAUGCAGAUGGUUUCAUUGCAGCCACCCGGUGAAAAGGGAGUUCAAGUUGAGCUGCAGCUGCUGCAAGCAGUCUGUAGCGGUGAUGUCAUCCUGAAGUGUUGUUAAUGUGGCAGUCUAGGCUGAAGCUAAUUAAAGUGUGCUGUUCAAGUCUUAUCACAGACGUCAAGCACAUUGAUAACAAAUUAUGAACAGGGGUCUAAACUACAUGUUUCUAAAUUUGCAUACCAGACUUUAUGAGAAGUCAUAUCGUUUGAAGAAGAAGGACGAUGACUACACAGUCGCCAAGGUCUCUUGUUUGAAAACCCGUUGGCUGCUACCUGUGAAUCUUCCUUUUUACUUCCUUUAACGGGCCCUCUUAAUUGAGGGUAACUCUUCGCUUCUGAUCUUCCACUGGACCCGACUUCAUCCAUUGGUGAAAGCUGACGAGAGAAUGAUGUAAUUCAAGACUGAUUAAUUGUGUAGUUGUUAGAUUACAUUACGAGUGCAUUUCUGGGCUCCCUUCUUUUCUGUGGCCCCGUUUCCCUAUCUAACUACUAACCAACGCCCGCCGGUGGUCACUCACUUGCUGUGAAACCAGGAGGAGGGGAGGGCUCUGGUCGAACGGGGACUUGGAAGGCGCAUGAUCUGAGGGUCAUGAGUCUAACACGGAAGUCUAGUAUGACUAAUUCGCUCCCCAGUAAAACUUGCCUCGCACUCUUCUCUCCUCUUCCAUUUCCAGGUAAUCU
This is a long non-coding RNA of Daphnia pulicaria, 2240 nucleotides long. RefSeq lists it as uncharacterized. The record is from RefSeq and is a predicted model, not a curated record. Lineage: Eukaryota; Metazoa; Arthropoda; Branchiopoda; Diplostraca; Daphniidae. The transcript is spliced from 6 exons.